GACGAACGCUGGCGGCGUGCCUAACACAUGCAAGUCGAGCGGGGUUGAAGCGAGAGGUAACUCGAACUUCUACCUAGCGGCGGACGGGUGAGUAACGCGUGGGCAACCUGCCUCAAGGUCUGGGAUAACAGCCCGAAAGGGCUGCUAAUACUGGGUAUGCUUGUGGCCUCGCAUGGGGCUAUGAGCAAAGGGGAAACCCGCCUUGAGAUGGGCCCGCGUCCCAUCAGCUAGUUGGUGAGGUAACAGCUCACCAAGGCGACGACGGGUAGCCGGCCUGAGAGGGUGACCGGCCACACUGGGACUGAGACACGGCCCAGACUCCUACGGGGGCAGCAGUGGGGGAUCUUGCACAAUGGGCGAAAGCCUGAUGCAGCGACGCCGCGUGAGCGAAGAAGGCCUUCGGUGUAAAGCUCUGUCUGGAGGGACGAAGGAAGUGACGGUACCUCCGGAGGAAGCCACGGCUAACUACGUGCCAGCAGCCGCGGUAAUCA
RNAcentral lists this ribosomal RNA (491 nucleotides) under uncultured bacterium. Its description in RNAcentral is "bacterial SSU rRNA". It matches the Rfam family "Bacterial small subunit ribosomal RNA", at positions 28 to 525 of the family's 1533-position model. The record is from RNAcentral.